GCGGGAAUAGCUCAGUUGGUAGANCAUAACCUUGCCAAGGUUGGGGUCGCGAGUUCGAGUCUCGUUUCCCGCUCCA
RNAcentral lists this transfer RNA (76 nucleotides) under Acinetobacter baumannii. RNAcentral describes it as "tRNA-Gly". It matches the Rfam family "tRNA". Rfam says of the family: Transfer RNA (tRNA) molecules are approximately 80 nucleotides in length. Their secondary structure includes four short double-helical elements and three loops (D, anti-codon, and T loops). The record is from RNAcentral. Lineage: Bacteria; Pseudomonadati; Pseudomonadota; Gammaproteobacteria; Moraxellales; Moraxellaceae.